ACACUUUUUUAUAGACACCCUGCAGCCAAUCAGAUUUGAGUAUUCACCCAGACCAUGGUAUAAUCCUUGAUAAGACACUGCUAAC
Molecule: long non-coding RNA, 85 nt
Organism: Etheostoma cragini (Arkansas darter)
Lineage: Eukaryota; Metazoa; Chordata; Actinopteri; Perciformes; Percidae
Exons: 3
Source: RefSeq, a predicted model, not a curated record